AUGCACACCGGCACCAAUAUACCAAGUUUGGAGACAAUUGGAGCCAUAGUUGCUGGAUCUUGGUGUGUUUCAAAGCUUUUUUGGUUUGAAAGGUGAGAUGGUUUUGAAAGGUGUAUAUUUUGAUAUAUACUUGAUUUGCUUGGUGUCCGAAACAAGCUGAGGGAAAAGCUAUUUAUAGUGGUUGCAUGAGUGGGUCUGGUCAUAUUAUAUGAUGUAACAUGUGAAUGUGAAAUUGAUUUUGAGAUCAAAGGAUUUGCUAGGGUAAAGAUAGUGACCAAUAUUUCUCUCUCUAUCUCAGCCGUUGAUUAAGUUUUCGUAAUUGUGUUCUUAAUAAAUCGAUGGUCCAUACGGCGAAGCUCAUUUGAAAAUACAUUUUUUUGUAAUUAUUAUGGGUAAAUUAAAUUAAAUAGGUAAAAGUAAACACACAAAGAUUUAUAUGCACUCAACAAAUCACGUGGAUGGUUUUUUGGGGUGUUUGGGUUGGGUUAGGGGUGUUUUUCGGCCGGAACGGAUCGGAAACCACUGUUCCGAAUUCCGUUCCGAAGCUUUUCGGAAUUACCUUUUAGUUCCGAGUCCGAUUCCGAAAUUUCGGAAUGUACUAACUCUAUUCCGAUGCGGAAUUUUCGGCAUUAUCGGAGUUUUCGGAAGUUAAUAUUUUCGGAAUUUUCGGAUAAUAGUUUCGGCAUUUUCGGAUAAUAAUAUUGGAAAUCAAAUUUUGAAAUUUUCUUGUGAAUCAUGAUUAAGCCAACCAAACAGGAAAAAAAAUUCCAGAAGAAUUCCAAUGUUUACAUUCAAAUGACAUAAUGUUCAAAUUUAAACUAGUCCACAAUAAAAACAGAAAAUGAAAACUACAAGUACAACAUUUAACAUAGGAAUGAAAACUAUGUUAAUAUUGGAAUGAAAACUAUGUUAAUAUAAUAUAAUAUAACAUUGGAAGCUACCUAGAUCUAACAUUGGAAUGAAAACUAUGUUAAUAUAAUAUAAGAAUAUGUAUUGUUCAUCUUUAGUACAACAUUUAUAUUAUAUUAUAUUUUACAUAUAUAUAUAUAUAUAUCAUGUGAAUAUACUUGAUAAAAAAUAAUGUUAUAUAUACUUUAUCUUGGAUACUACUACAUACUUACUAUUAGGGUUCAAUCCCAAUGUGUUUCUAUGAUCAUCGCUAUUUUUUAAUUUUCAUAAUCAUGAUUCAUGCAUGAACAAGAGUUUGAUACCAAUUUGUAUUUGAUACAACAUGUCAAUGUCCUACCUUUUUUAAGGGUAAGUUACCUAUUGAUGUACCUAACUUUUUUGGUACCCCCUAUUGUUUAUGUUCACAUUAUUAAGAAAAUAGUACUACAUUAGCACCUUGGCAAUUGAUUAUAAAGAAAAUAAGUUUAUAAUUAAAUGCAUGACCUCAUACCCCAAUGAGUCCUAUUCAAGAAAUUGAGUUAGAAUUAAAAGAAAAAAAAAAAUCAAUACACUACGUAAUUUAGAUCAAUUCAAAAUUGGUUGCAUUACAAAUUUUUUUUUUCCUUUUACUAAUAUUUUUAAAUGUACUUAAAUUUUUUUCAUUAUGUAUGUAUAAUGUAUAUAUAAUGUUCGCCAAUAAUAUCAAAGAAAACUUGUGUCUUUGGUUGGUUGUGACAGAACUAUGGACAAAUUAAAAAUUGUGGGAAUGCAUUAAAUGUUUUGCAUAUAAAUUAAAUAUAUUGAUUGUUGUCUAAACUUUUGUAGGAUUAAUUCAAAAUAUUUCGGAAUAAAUCGGAAUUUCUAGAUCGGAAUGUUUUUCAAAUAUUUGGAAUUUUUAAAAUCGAAAUAUAUUAGGAAUAUAUCGGAAUUAUUGGAUCGGAAUCAGUUCGGAACAUUUUGGAAUAUUUCGGAUCGGAAAUUUCAGAAAUUUCGGAAGUUCCAUGUACAUUCCGAAUCCGAUCCAAUUUUUUUCGGAAAUUUCAGAUUUCGGCAUUUACGAAAUUCGGAUUUGUCGGAGCCGGAUUUUUUUGGAAAUAUUCGGACCGGAAUCGGUCGGAAUCGGAUUUUCCAAUCCAACUUGCACCCCUAGGUUGGGUUGUGGGUUUUUCCCUUUUUUUUUUUUUUUUUUUUUUUUUGUCUUUAGUUUGACCAAAAGAGAUAAGGUUUUCCAAAUGUUGUGUCUUGAUUGUGUUCCAUCAAAUUCAACCUUCCAUAAACAGCUCUAAAAAAUUAGGUGAAGUGCUUCUGCCAACUAAGCUAUGUUGUGUCUUGUUUGUGUUCCAUCAUCAACCUCUACAAAUUAGGUUUGAUGCUGUUCAACUGCGUCUAGCAUUCACCUUUUGUCAUUUGUGUUUGUGAUUUUGCCGGUUUAAGAAAAGUUAUUAUUUUCUCAUUAAUUUUUACAAUUUGGAAUAUUUUCAGGGCCGAUAGCAAUGAAGAUGGAAGAAUCACAAGGGAAGGGGUGCAAGAGGUAAAAUAAAAUAAAAAUUGUUGACUGCAGGAAACUAAUAAAAUCCCAUCUAACAUUUGCUUUUGUAGCAAGUUAUUUAUUCCUCUCCUUGAUCCAAAAAAAAAAAGUUAUUUAUUCCUCACAAAGCCAAAUAAAUGUUGCUUUCAUUCAAUUGUUACAGCUUAUAAUGCUCAGUGCUUCAUUACCAAUAGACGAACAAGAUCCUGAAAACCUCUAUUUACAAAAAAAGAUGUGAGGAAAAAAAUCCCGAGUACAGCCGCCCGGCCAUACAAUUUUUUAAUAAAAACUUUUGUAUAGCCGAGCGGCUAUACUCUUUUUAUUUAAAAAAAAAGGCGCGCAUCGCCGCAAGGCUAUACUAUUUUUAUUAUAAAAAAUUUGAGUAUAGCCGGGCGGCUAUACUAUUUGUAUAAAAAGGGGUCCGCAUGGCGCCGCGUGGCUACACUUUUUAAAAGUAAUAAAACCAUAGUAUAGCCAUGCGGCUAUACGAGUUUAAAAUCGUAGUAUGGCCGUCCGGCUUUACGCUUUUUAUUUAAAAUAAGUAUAGCCGCUCGGCUAUACUGUUAUUAGAAACCGAAGAGUAUAGCCCCGCGGCUUUACCGUUUUAAAAUUUUUAUAAGCGUUCCUAUACUGAUUGUUCUCCAACAAACAUUUUCUAGUAUGGCAAAGCUUGAAGUACAUCGGUAAAUUUGCUUGGUUUGUUGGAGGACAUCAUCAGAUUCAGCCUUGGGUGAGUUGAUUGCAAAUCGUGCUUGAAGUUGAUUAUGAAGUUUUAAAUUUAUGUGGGCUUUUGCAAAGAAAUACAAACUUCCGUCCACAUUACUCAGCGAGCAGGGUAAUAAGGUGAGGAAAUGGGGAGUGCCAUCAGAUCUGUUUGGGACAUUGCCUGGCAGACAGAUUCAACAACCAGUUCCAACCUCAGAAGCAUACUGAUGAAACUCUCAAACUCCUUCAAAGCCUUUAA
This 3380-nucleotide long non-coding RNA is filed under the name Prunus dulcis (almond). RNAcentral describes it as "sRNA ncRNA". The record is from RNAcentral. Lineage: Eukaryota; Viridiplantae; Streptophyta; Magnoliopsida; Rosales; Rosaceae.